RNAcentral lists this unclassified non-coding RNA (240 nucleotides) under soil metagenome. Its description in RNAcentral is "partial contains 5.8S ribosomal RNA, internal transcribed spacer 2, and large subunit ribosomal RNA". The record is from RNAcentral.
AACAUCGCGCACCUGCGGGAACCUGCGGAAGGAUCAUUACAGAGUUGCAAAACUCCCUAAACCAUUGUGAACGUUACCUAAACCGUUGCUUCGGCGGGCGGCCCGGGUCCUUCCCGGCGCCCCUCGGCCCUCGCGGGCGCCCGCCGGAGGUAAACCAAACUAUUGCAUUGUAUGGCCUCUCUGAGUCUUCUGUACCGAAUAAGUCAAAACUUUCAACAACGGAUCUCAGAUCGGAAGAGC